RNAcentral lists this ribosomal RNA (983 nucleotides) under Nodularia sp. 34. Its description in RNAcentral is "bacterial SSU rRNA". It matches the Rfam family "Bacterial small subunit ribosomal RNA", at positions 444 to 1442 of the family's 1533-position model. The record is from RNAcentral. Lineage: Bacteria; Bacillati; Cyanobacteriota; Cyanophyceae; Nostocales; Nodulariaceae.
GAAGAAAAAAAUGACGGUACCUGAGGAAUAAGCAUCGGCUAACUCCGUGCCAGCAGCCGCGGUAAUACGGAGGAUGCAAGCGUUAUCCGGAAUGAUUGGGCGUAAAGGGUCCGCAGGUGGCUAUGUAAGUCUGCUGUUAAAGAACCUAGCUUAACUAGGUAAAAGCAGUGGAAACUACAAGGCUAGAGUGCGUUCGGGGUAGAGGGAAUUCCUGGUGUAGCGGUGAAAUGCGUAGAUAUCAGGAAGAACACCAGUGGCGAAGGCGCUCUACUAGGCCGCAACUGACACUGAGGGACGAAAGCUAGGGGAGCGAAUGGGAUUAGAUACCCCAGUAGUCCUAGCCGUAAACGAUGGAUACUAGGCGUGGCUUGUAUCGACCCAAGCCGUGCCGGAGCUAACGCGUUAAGUAUCCCGCCUGGGGAGUACGCACGCAAGUGUGAAACUCAAAGGAAUUGACGGGGGCCCGCACAAGCGGUGGAGUAUGUGGUUUAAUUCGAUGCAACGCGAAGAACCUUACCAAGACUUGACAUGUCGCGGAUCUUCUUGAAAGGGAAGAGUGCCUUCGGGAGCGCGAACACAGGUGGUGCAUGGCUGUCGUCAGCUCGUGUCGUGAGAUGUUGGGUUAAGUCCCGCAACGAGCGCAACCCUCGUUUUUAGUUGCCAGCAUUAAGUUGGGCACUCUAGAGAGACUGCCGGUGACAAACCGGAGGAAGGUGGGGAUGACGUCAAGUCAGCAUGCCCCUUACGUCUUGGGCUACACACGUACUACAAUGCUACGGACAAAGGGUAGCUACACAGCAAUGUGAUGCCAAUCUCAGAAACCGUAGCUCAGUUCAGAUCGCAGGCUGCAACUCGCCUGCGUGAAGUCGGAAUCGCUAGUAAUUGCAGGUCAGCAUACUGCAGUGAAUUCGUUCCCGGGCCUUGUACACACCGCCCGUCACACCAUGGAAGCUGGUCACGCCCGAAGUCGUUACCCCAACUGU